GAGGGAAGGAUAAGCAGUCUCUUUCUGGACUCCCUGUGGAGCAUGUAGUAGGCGCUUAAUGAAUGUUUGCAGACAGAUGACCAGAGCCCUCAGGACCUCUGCUGGCGGCGCUGGCCGGGUGGAGACCCCAUGAAGCAGGGCAGGAUUGCAUCUGUUUGCUUCUCUGGGAGCCAUGGACACGGUCUUGGCCCCUCAGCCACCACCGAGUGCAGACUUGGAAUGUGCUUCUCUGGAAGAUGAGGCCCAGCGCCCGCGUCAGGGCUGCGUGCCUUGCAGAACACACAUGCGUGUCUGGAAACCCCGGGCUGGCCCAGGCUGCACGGAGGCCUGCGUGAAACCCGUACCGUGCACCCUUUGCUAUCUGCGUGACAGGUGUGACUGCCCCUUCACAGAUCAUCUGUCGGCACGAGUGACUCGGGGACGGGGAGGCAGAGACUGCUGGGUCUGAAGUCGGUCUCGGGCGGACCUGAGCACCUGCUCGCUCCUACGUACUCAUGACUUAGAAAGCACAGUGCUCACAGAGGACGCGGCGGCUUGGCUCCCACAAGGCGCACCAGCCUUAAGCCUGGGGACCUGGCCCUGCGCGCAGCUGGCUCUGGUCUGGGGCCCCGGAUGUGCGGCCCGUGGAGGAGACACACGCGGGUGGGCUCAGGAAGCGGCAGUGCCGGUUUGGUGUCUCCUGAGGUCAAGGAACAAGUCACCCAUCCUGACCCGGCCUCCUAAAGCCCGCCUAGCAUCCUGGUCAGAAAGGGACUGGCCACCAGAUAUCCAGCAGGGCUGCUCUGCACCCAGCACCCUGCACCUGCGGGGAGGUGGCCCAGAACAGUGUGCGGAUGGCUGCCCAAGUGUCAGUGCUCUGCAGCUGCAUUUCCUCCUGGGCCGACCACACACCUGCACGGCCCAGGCUCUUCCGGGGGUCCACUGUGGGGCUCCUUGGCCACCAGGGAAGAGCAGGGGCAGACGAGCCUCUGGGAGCAGGGAGCUGUGGCCAGGGAGGCUGACCCUCUUACUCUCCUUGUUGGGGCUCAGGCUUCAGGAGGCAAGGGUGGGGGGGCCACAUGUAGAAUAGCCACCACUUGCAGCCCGGGAAGGAUGGCUCAGGCACAGAGGCAUCAGGGACACAGCGGUGUGCCCAGGCCAGAGCGUCUCACUGCUGGUGACUUUGAAUCCCGGGGAGACAUCCCAGGUUGUCACUCUCAUCCUAGCUGCAGUGGGGACACUUCACUUCUGCACGCACUGGUCCCUCAGCGUCCCUCCUCCAUCCCGUCUGCCCUGCUCUUCCUGCAACGCUCAGGUGCUCCUGGAGCGUCAGCACGGAGGACACAGUGUCAGCAACCACCUUCAAGGGCACCGGCCCCAGCUCAGGGCCACACCUGCACAUCCCAGACGUCACAUCUGUCCAUCUGACCAAAGGUCUGCAGGGGCCACGGGCAGCCUCUGCAGCACACGGCCAGCGCUCUCACCCUAGCAGGAAGGGCAUCCUGGGAGUGGGCUGAGGACCCCCGACCACGGAAGAAGAGGCCAGGAGGGAGCGUUCCUUGAUGAGUGGGCGUCUCCAUCCCUCAGGGGCCAACAGGCCUCCUUCACUCACUCACUCGCUCAUCCUGACGGUGCUGUGCGGACGUGCAUGGAGGUGGGAGUCCCCUGGUGCGGUUAUGCGAGCUCUCUCCAGGUGUCCCGAGGAGAGACUUAGGAGGACACCCCGUCCCUGUCUGGGCGUGGUGAUGGGCCCAGGUUCCUGCCUGCCCUGGCGAGACUUCUCCUGGUCACUCUGCCAACCCUCUGCUCUGGGGAGGAACAUCCCAGCGUCUCGGCCCCAGGGCCACCUCUUCUGGGGAGGACGUCUGACGUGCCUGUGUCCAUCUCUCCCGCAGGCCUUGCUCACAGCGAGGCGCGUGGACGCCACCCUUGCCUGUGCUCCCUGCCCAGCAUGGGGGUGCGUGAGUGCGUGAGUGGUGAGGAACGAGGGGCAGGAGACCAGUGCUCCGCCCAGCGCCGCGGCCCCCAAUGCCACCUGGCACGUCUGACUUCUGUGUAGCUCGCCCUCCGUGCCUGACGCCCAGAACCGACCCCCGGGCCGCUCAGCAUCCCAGGCAAGGGCGGAUGCGCAUUGGACAGUGAAUGGCUGCGGAGGAAGGGCGCUGGCCAAGGGAGCAGCCAGGAUGCCCUCGGAGAGGGCAGAUGUGCUGAGUUUGGGGCUCGCAGGACAAAUGUGGGAGCCCAGAUGAGCGUGUUAA
This is a long non-coding RNA of Sciurus carolinensis (gray squirrel), 2237 nucleotides long. RefSeq lists it as uncharacterized. NCBI's taxonomy places the organism in Eukaryota, Metazoa, Chordata, Mammalia, Rodentia, Sciuridae. The record is from RefSeq and is a predicted model, not a curated record. The transcript has 3 exons.